This 77-nucleotide transfer RNA is filed under the name Mycoplasma sp. CAG:956. RNAcentral describes it as "transfer RNA-Met(CAT)". It matches the Rfam family "tRNA". From Rfam's summary of the family: Transfer RNA (tRNA) molecules are approximately 80 nucleotides in length. Their secondary structure includes four short double-helical elements and three loops (D, anti-codon, and T loops). Further hydrogen bonds mediate the characteristic L-shaped molecular structure. tRNAs have two regions of fundamental functional importance: the anti-codon, which is responsible for specific mRNA codon recognition, and the 3' end, to which the tRNAs corresponding amino acid is attached (by aminoacyl-tRNA synthetases). tRNAs cope with the degeneracy of the genetic code in two manners: having more than one tRNA (with a specific anti-codon) for a particular amino acid; and 'wobble' base-pairing, i.e. permitting non-standard base-pairing at the 3rd anti-codon position. RNAcentral also lists the same sequence under 1 other name. The record is from RNAcentral. Lineage: Bacteria; Bacillati; Mycoplasmatota; Mollicutes; Mycoplasmatales; Mycoplasmataceae.
GGACCCUUAGCUCAAUCGGUUAGAGCAAUCGGCUCAUAACCGAUGGGUUGUAGGUUCGAGUCCUACAGGGUCCACCA